This 774-nucleotide ribosomal RNA is filed under the name uncultured Neocallimastigales. Its description in RNAcentral is "partial large subunit ribosomal RNA". It matches the Rfam family "Eukaryotic large subunit ribosomal RNA", at positions 24 to 639 of the family's 3401-position model. The record is from RNAcentral. Lineage: Eukaryota; Fungi; Neocallimastigomycota; Neocallimastigomycetes; Neocallimastigales.
UAUCUCUGUAGAGUCUGCAUAUCAAUAAGCGGAGGAAAAGAAACUAACUAGGAUUCCCUCAGUAACGGCGAGUGAAGCGGGAAGAGCUCAAAUUUGAAAUCUUCAAGGUUCUACCUUGACGAAUUGUAGUUUAAAGAAGUGUUUUCUGUUGGAGUUUUGGUAAAAGUUCUUUGGAAUAGGACAUCAUAGAGGGUGAGAAUCCCGUAUUUGACCAUUAUUUCCAGCUUUGUGAUACACUUUCAAAGAGUCGGAUUGUUUGGGAAUGCAGUCCAAAAUGGGUGGUAAAUUUCAUCUAAAGCUAAAUACUGGCGAGAGACCGAUAGCGAACAAGUACCGUGAGGGAAAGAUGAAAAGAACUUUGAAAAGAGAGUUAAACAGUACGUGAAAUUGUCAAAAGGGAAGCGUUUGACACCAGUGUUGUUUUUCUGAAAAUCAAUUAAAGAACUGUUUAUGCUAAGCUGUUUAGACUUUAUCAGCUAUCUGUUUAGUUUUGAGCUUUUCUUUAAUGCACUUUUCAGUUAACAAGUCAACAUCAAUUUCUUUUGCUGUAAAAAAGCUUGAGGAAGGUGGCUUGAGAUUCGUCUUAAGUGUUUAUAGCCUCUUGCCUAUGCAGUCGGAGAGAUUGAGGUCUGCAGCGUAGAUCCUUCGGGGCUAAAUGCAUUUGUGCUGAGUUAUAGCAUUUUAUAGACAACUUGUUGACUAUGAUUUGUCUUGUAGCUUACUCGCUUAUGUUAUUUUACCUACGCUUAGGAUGUUGACGAUCAGCUGAGCGCG